RNAcentral lists this ribosomal RNA (453 nucleotides) under uncultured bacterium. RNAcentral's name for it is "bacterial SSU rRNA". It matches the Rfam family "Bacterial small subunit ribosomal RNA", at positions 340 to 786 of the family's 1533-position model. The record is from RNAcentral.
UACGGGAGGCAGCAGUGGGGAAUAUUGCACAAUGGGCGCAAGCCUGAUGCAGCCAUGCCGCGUGUAUGAAAAAGGCCUUUCGGGUUGUAAAGUACUUUCAGUCGUGAGGAAGGUGUUAAGGUUAAUAACCUUAGCAAUUGACGUUAGCGACAGAAGAAGCACCGGCUAACUCCGUGCCAGCAGCCGCGGUAAUACGGAGGGUGCGAGCGUUAAUCGGAAUUACUGGGCGUAAAGGGCACGCAGGCGGUUAAUUAAGUUGGAUGUGAAAUCCCCGGGCUUAACCUGGGAAUGGCAUUCAAGACUGGUUAGCUAGAGUCUUGUAGAGGGGGUGAAUUCCAUGUGUAGCGGUGAAAUGCGUAGAGAUGUGGAGGAAUACCGGUGGCGAAGGCGGCCCCUGGACAAAGACUGACGCUCAUGUGCGAAAGCGUGGGGAGCAAACAGGGAUUAGAUACC